CCCCCGCCCUGCCCCCCGCGGGCCACCGCGGGUCGGGGUCGCCGCCGGGGCUCGGUCAGUCGGUACCUUCAUGAAGGUCUCUACCGCGCCUUUGGCCGUGUCCAGGAGAAACCAACUCUGGCUAAGACCAGAAAGAAUGUAUUUGAAAGAUGCAGAACAAGUCAUCUGAAAAACAAGGUUCAGGAAGAACAACCCCGGAUUUCCCCAGGGACAGACAGUCAUCUAGGAGCUCAGACACCAUUGUCAAAAUAAAUCCUGCUCCAGUUUUCUUCGACA
This is a non-coding RNA of Peromyscus maniculatus bairdii (prairie deer mouse), 276 nucleotides long. The record is from RefSeq and is a predicted model, not a curated record. Lineage: Eukaryota; Metazoa; Chordata; Mammalia; Rodentia; Cricetidae.